This is a long non-coding RNA of Bombus impatiens (common eastern bumble bee), 72 nucleotides long. RefSeq lists it as uncharacterized. Lineage: Eukaryota; Metazoa; Arthropoda; Insecta; Hymenoptera; Apidae. The transcript is spliced from 3 exons. The record is from RefSeq and is a predicted model, not a curated record.
AGAUGACGACGCAUUUGGACCCCUUAAGAGGGUCAUAGUUACUCCCGCCGUUUACCCGCGCUUUUGUUCCAU